This 1467-nucleotide ribosomal RNA is filed under the name Triticum aestivum (bread wheat). Its description in RNAcentral is "partial small subunit ribosomal RNA". The record is from RNAcentral. Lineage: Eukaryota; Viridiplantae; Streptophyta; Magnoliopsida; Poales; Poaceae.
AUGGUUGUUGCAAACGGCAAUGUCGACAUGGAGGAAGGAACCCUUGAAAUCGGGAUUGAGUACAGGACAGUUUCUGGAGUUGCUGGUCCUCUUGUGAUUCUUGACAAAGUGAAGGGUCCUAAAUACCAAGAAAUCGUCAACAUACGAUUGGGAGAUGGCACAACUAGGCGUGGUCAGGUGCUUGAAGUUGAUGGAGAGAAAGCUGUGGUUCAGGUUUUUGAGGGAACUUCUGGUAUUGACAACAAAUAUACAACUGUGCAAUUCACUGGUGAGGUUCUAAAAACUCCAGUAUCACUGGAUAUGCUUGGCCGCAUUUUCAAUGGUUCUGGGAAACCUAUAGAUAAUGGCCCACCAAUUUUACCAGAGGCGUACCUGGAUAUUUCCGGAAGUUCUAUCAAUCCCAGCGAACGGACAUACCCUGAAGAAAUGAUUCAGACUGGCAUAUCUACAAUUGAUGUGAUGAAUUCUAUAGCUCGUGGUCAGAAGAUACCUCUGUUCUCCGCUGCAGGUCUGCCACACAAUGAAAUUGCUGCUCAGAUUUGUCGUCAGGCUGGGCUGGUAAAGCGUAAAGAGAAGACUGACAAUAUCUUGGAGAAUGCCGAGGAAGACAAUUUUGCUAUUGUCUUUGCAGCUAUGGGAGUAAACAUGGAAACAGCACAAUUUUUCAAGCGUGAUUUUGAGGAGAAUGGUUCGAUGGAGAGAGUUACCUUAUUUCUUAAUCUGGCAAAUGAUCCAACCAUCGAGCGUAUUAUUACUCCAAGAAUUGCUCUCACAACAGCGGAGUACUUGGCAUAUGAGUGCGGGAAGCAUGUUCUUGUCAUCCUGACUGACAUGAGUUCAUAUGCAGAUGCACUUCGUGAAGUCUCUGCUGCUCGAGAGGAAGUGCCUGGAAGGCGUGGUUAUCCUGGUUAUAUGUAUACUGACUUGGCAACUAUCUAUGAGCGUGCUGGUCGUAUAGAAGGAAGAAAAGGAUCAAUUACGCAGAUACCUAUUUUAACCAUGCCUAAUGAUGAUAUUACCCAUCCAACUCCUGAUCUUACUGGUUACAUCACCGAGGGGCAGAUCUACAUUGACAGGCAGCUACAUAAUCGGCAGAUAUAUCCACCAAUCAAUGUCCUUCCCUCGCUUUCGCGGCUCAUGAAGAGCGCUAUUGGCGAAGGCAUGACUCGCCGGGAUCAUUCUGAUGUCUCAAACCAGCUAUAUGCCAAUUACGCCAUAGGCAAAGACGUGCAGGCGAUGAAGGCAGUGGUUGGAGAGGAAGCACUGUCAUCAGAGGACUUGCUCUACCUUGAGUUCCUCGACAAGUUUGAGCGGAAGUUUGUGGCUCAGGGAGCAUAUGACACACGAAACAUCUUCCAGUCGCUUGACCUUGCCUGGACCUUACUCCGCAUCUUCCCCCGUGAGCUGCUCCACCGUAUACCGGCGAAGACCCUUGAUCAGUUCUACAGUCGUGAUGCCUCCCACUAA